AGGACGAACGCUGGCGGCGUGCCUAACACAUGCAAGUCGAGCGAGGAGAUUCCUCGGGAUGAUCCUAGCGGCGGACGGGUGAGUAACACGUGGGCAACCUGCCUCAUAGAGAGGAAUAGCCUUCCGAAAGGGAGAUUAAUACCUCAUAACAUUGCAGUUUCGCAUGGAACUAGCAAUUAAAGGAGUAAUCCGCUAUGAGAUGGGCCCGCGGCGCAUUAGCUAGUUGGUGAGGUAACGGCUCACCAAGGCGACGAUGCGUAGCCGACCUGAGAGGGUGAUCGGCCACAUUGGGACUGAGACACGGCCCAGACUCCUACGGGAGGCAGCAGUGGGGAAUAUUGCACAAUGGGGGAAACCCUGAUGCAAGCAACGCCGCGUGAGUGAUGACGGCCUUCGGGUUGUAAAGCUCUGUCUUCAGGGACGAUAAUGACGGUACCUGAGGAGGAAGCCACGGCUAACUACGUGCCAGCAGCGGC
Molecule: ribosomal RNA, 476 nt
Filed under: uncultured bacterium
Lineage: Bacteria
Description: bacterial SSU rRNA
Rfam family: Bacterial small subunit ribosomal RNA
Source: RNAcentral